This is a microRNA precursor of Oryctolagus cuniculus (rabbit), 61 nucleotides long. The record is from Ensembl. NCBI's taxonomy places the organism in Eukaryota, Metazoa, Chordata, Mammalia, Lagomorpha, Leporidae.
UAAUCCUUGAUACCUGGUGUUAGUGCUUUCUAUGUGCAAUGCACCUGGGCAAGGAUUUAGA